RNAcentral lists this small RNA (825 nucleotides) under uncultured Bionectria. Its description in RNAcentral is "eukaryotic LSU rRNA". The stretch from base 551 to 825 matches the Rfam family "Eukaryotic large subunit ribosomal RNA", at positions 1 to 281 of the family's 3401-position model. The record is from RNAcentral. Lineage: Eukaryota; Fungi; Ascomycota; Sordariomycetes; Hypocreales; Bionectriaceae.
CUUGGUCAUUUAGAGGAAGUAAAAGUCGUAACAAGGUCUCCGUUGGUGAACCAGCGGAGGGAUCAUUACCGAGUUUACAACUCCCAAACCCAUGUGAACAUACCUACUGUUGCUUCGGCGGGAUUGCCCCGGGCGCCUCGUGUGCCCCGGAUCAGGCGCCCGCCUAGGAAACUUAAUUCUUGUUUUAUUUUGGAAUCUUCUGAGUAGUUUUUACAAAUAAAUAAAAACUUUCAACAACGGAUCUCUUGGUUCUGGCAUCGAUGAAGAACGCAGCGGAAUGCGAUAAGUAAUGUGAAUUGCAGAAUUCAGUGAAUCAUCGAAUCUUUGAACGCACAUUGCGCCCGCCAGUAUUCUGGCGGGCAUGCCUGUCUGAGCGUCAUUUCAACCCUCAUGCCCCUAGGGCGUGGUGUUGGGGAUCGGCCAAAGCCCGCGAGGGACGGCCGGCCCCUAAAUCUAGUGGCGGACCCGUCGUGGCCUCCUCUGCGAAGUAGUGAUAUUCCGCAUCGGAGAGCGACGAGCCCCUGCCGUUAAACCCCCAACUUUCCAAGGUUGACCUCAGAUCAGGUAGGAAUACCCGCUGAACUUAAGCAUAUCAAUAAGCGGAGGAAAAGAGACCAACAGGGAUUGCCCUAGUAACGGCGAGUGAAGCGGCAACAGCUCAAAUUUGAAAUCUGGCGCAAGCCCGAGUUGUAAUUUGUAGAGGAUGUUUCUGGCGACGUGCCUUCCGAGUUCCCUGGAACGGGACGCCAUAGAGGGUGAGAGCCCCGUACGGUUGGAUGCCUAGCCUCUGUGAAACUCCUUCGACGAGUCGAGUUGUUUGGGAAU